Molecule: ribosomal RNA, 257 nt
Filed under: uncultured bacterium
Lineage: Bacteria
Description: partial 16S ribosomal RNA
Rfam family: Bacterial small subunit ribosomal RNA
Source: RNAcentral
UACGUAGGGUGCGAGCGUUGUCCGGAAUUUAUUGGGCGUAAAGGGCUCGUAGGCGGUUUUGUCGCGUCGGGAGUGAAAACCUCGGGCUUUAACUCGGGGCUUGCUUUCGAUACGGGGCAGACUAGAGGUAUGCAGGGGAGAACGGAAUUCCUGGUGUAGCGGUGAAUGACGCAGAUAUCAGGAGGAACACCGGUGGCGAAGGCGGUUCUCUGGGCAUGAUCUGACGCUGAGGCGCGAAAGCUAGGGUAGCAAACGGG